Molecule: long non-coding RNA, 272 nt
Filed under: Ananas comosus (pineapple)
Lineage: Eukaryota; Viridiplantae; Streptophyta; Magnoliopsida; Poales; Bromeliaceae
Description: long non-coding RNA (ACOM_LNC000130)
Source: RNAcentral
UCCAGCUUAAUUAUAAACUGUCAUCCAUUAUAUCUUUACUUUUAGAUUUUUACUCUACUGUAAUAUAAACGCUAUUUGUAUAUUAUAAUGUGGUCGUGAUUAAAAGUACUAAUGGAUGAACGGUAGAUCAGAAAAAAAUUUUGCUCGAUUAUUGCGUAAUGAGUUGUAUUCGCUUUUUUCGAACACGUAUUUUAUGCAGUUAUAUAUAUAAGGACGGGACUAUCCUGUCUUUCAUUAUCAUUAUAAUAGCUUUAUGUACAAAAAAAACUUUA